GGCUCCGUGGCGCAACUGUAUAGCGCAUCAGAUUUCGGCUCUGAGGGUUGGGGGUUAGAAUCCCUCCGGGGUCACAA
Molecule: transfer RNA, 77 nt
Filed under: Bacteroidota bacterium
Lineage: Bacteria; Pseudomonadati; Bacteroidota
Also listed under: 6 other names
Description: Bacteroidetes bacterium tRNA-Arg
Rfam family: tRNA
About the family: Transfer RNA (tRNA) molecules are approximately 80 nucleotides in length.
Source: RNAcentral